RNAcentral lists this ribosomal RNA (253 nucleotides) under uncultured bacterium. RNAcentral's name for it is "partial 16S ribosomal RNA". It matches the Rfam family "Bacterial small subunit ribosomal RNA", at positions 524 to 776 of the family's 1533-position model. The record is from RNAcentral.
UACGUAGGUGGCGAGCGUUGUCCGGAUUUACUGGGCGUAAAGGGAGCGUAGGCGGACUUUUAAGUGAGAUGUGAAAUACUCGGGCUCAACUUGAGUGCUGCAUUUCAAACUGGAAGUCUAGAGUGCAGGAGAGGAGAAUGGAAUUCCUAGUGUAGCGGUAAAAUGCGUAGAUAUAUGGAAGAACACCAGUGGCGAAAGCGGCUCUCUGGUCUGUAACUGACGCUGAGGUUCGAAAGCGUGGGUAGCAAACAGG